Molecule: ribosomal RNA, 140 nt
Filed under: Olea europaea subsp. europaea
Lineage: Eukaryota; Viridiplantae; Streptophyta; Magnoliopsida; Lamiales; Oleaceae
Description: LSU_rRNA_bacteria
Source: RNAcentral
UAAGCACCAUCACAACCUGGAUGUGUUUUUCAGGCUCCUCCAAGAGAGAAUGGGGGAAUUGCUCUAUGAUGUUCCAAAGGUUGGGUUUUCACCCAUUAAAAUGAUACGUGAGCUCGCUUUAGAACAUUGCGAGAUAAUUC